GAAGUUCUAAACGAUUUUUGCAUACGUUUUUAAAGAUAUGGUCCACGACAAUGAAAGAGUUUAUUGGUGUCACUUGCACUGAGAGUUUGUGCUCUUGACUUUUCAGUCAGUGAUAGCCGGCAGACUGCGAAAUACAUUUAAUUAAUUCAGUUAAACAUAAUUUAUGAAACUGAUUAUUAACAUAGACGGUUGAAAACAUUGCACUUGUCACGUCAGCGUCAAGCGAUAUGCAGGAGACGGUGCGAACAGGACAUCAUUUUAAUGCAUUUUAUUUGUAAGGAAUGACGCGGUUUAUGAGGUGUCCAAAAGUGAACCGACUGCGCCUCCAUUUUGAAAAUAACGCGUGACUUUGCGUCAGGACGUUUUUAAUUAAAAUAAGUAAAGUAAACGACACAUAUUUCUUCAUUAAUGGAGUUUCAGAAAACAAGGACAUAGCUCGACAUGCCAUGGUAUUGUGUCGAGGUUACUAAGUUUUUUUUUUUUUUUUUAAACGAGGUCUUGGGACCAGCUUUAAUCAUCCAUUGCAAACGUGACAACGACGUCUUCGUGUCUAUUUUUGACAAAAACGAUUAAACACCCAUUCUGAUGUAUUUAUCCUUGAAGUUAUAACAACGGUCUUCAUGUCUUAGGAAUGGAACAUUUAAACUCCCAUUCUGAACUGAAGAUGAUGUAAUCAAGGAAACUGAUCCAAAAAUGAGUAACAUCACCCUCCCAAAACCUGAUGAGGACUCAGAUGCCACAGGUGUGGAUCAUCAGGACUUGGUCUCACCUGGUCCCAGCAGUGAUUCCAGGGAAAACAGUUCUUCCCAAAUUUCUGCCACUGGUGUAAUUAUACACCGAAGGACCCCGAUUAAGAGGCCUGUCUCACCCACUUUCAGCGUGUGUUCUAUGAAAAGUGAACAGUCAAUAGACAUGCCUCCAACUGUGAGUGAGGGAAACAUCUCUCCUUCAAGCUCUUUCAGCAGUCUUUCUGAAGAAUCUGGCAUCAGAAACAGAAACAUCUUGUCUGGAGAUGUGGCAUGUGAUGCGUGCACUGAGAAGAUGGAAAGAGCUGUGAAGUUCUGCCUGACCUGCAGCGUGUCCUACUGUGAGGCUCAUGUCCGACAGCACUACACUGUACCAGCACUGCAGAGGCACGUCUUGGAGGAGCCCAGAAAACACAAGGAGGAGAGGGGGAAAAUUCAGGUGAGGAUCUGCUCUCCAAGGGUGAGCUCACGUGAUGCGAACAGCAGUGCGACACACAGAUGCUGGGUGCACUCACUGAAAUACUAAGAGACAAACACCGAAGGCUCUGAUAUGCGUCAUAUUACACACUCAAAACUUUUUUCAAAAACAGCUUAUAAGAAAUAUUUA
Molecule: long non-coding RNA, 1353 nt
Filed under: Scleropages formosus (Asian bonytongue)
Lineage: Eukaryota; Metazoa; Chordata; Actinopteri; Osteoglossiformes; Osteoglossidae
Description: lncRNA (ENSSFOG00015025111.1)
Source: RNAcentral